AAGCUUAAAGGAAUUGACGGGGCCCGCACAAGCAGCGGAGCGUGUGGUUUAAUUCGUUGCUACACGAAGAACCUUACCUGGGUUUGACAUAUAGGUUGUAGGGAACUGAAAAGGGACCGACCCUUCGGGGAGCCUAUACAGGUGUUGCAUGGCUGUCGUCAGCUCGUGUCGUGAGAUGUUCGGUUAAGUCCGCUAACGAGCGCAACCCUCGUCGUAUGUUAUAUGUGUCAUACGAGACUGCCGGUAAAAGCCGGAGGAAGGUGAGGAUGAUGUCAAGUCAGCAUGACCUUUAUAUCCAGGGCUACACACACGCUACAAUGGUCUGUACAAUGGGUAGCCAAGCCGCGAGGCGGAGCCAAUCCUGAAAGCAGGCCUCAGUUCAGAUUGCAGUCUGCAACUCGACUGCAUGAAGCCGGAGUUGCUAGUAACCGCAGGUCAGCAAUACUGCGGUGAAUACGUUCCCGGGUCUU
RNAcentral lists this ribosomal RNA (470 nucleotides) under uncultured Anaerolineaceae bacterium. Its description in RNAcentral is "bacterial SSU rRNA". It matches the Rfam family "Bacterial small subunit ribosomal RNA", at positions 897 to 1382 of the family's 1533-position model. The record is from RNAcentral. Lineage: Bacteria; Bacillati; Chloroflexota; Anaerolineae; Anaerolineales; Anaerolineaceae.